ACGCUGUGGAAGCAGCAACCGGUCUGUUGGAAAGUUCCUGCAUAAGUUGUCGGAUCCUCAAAAAAAAGCUUUUCUGGGGACGCGCUGUUCAAGUCGAGUUUCCUUAUUGUCCCUUCCAAGACAUCCCUUCUAACUUCCCUAUUUCCAAAGGAAGAAAGAAAGGUCGAAAGCUCUCUUUCGAGAGCCUCUUUUGUUGGGCUCGGCGGCCCCAAUCGCAAGGCUAGAUCCAGAUCCCCCAUAGCCUGUUCAGCA
RNAcentral lists this long non-coding RNA (252 nucleotides) under Capsicum annuum. Its description in RNAcentral is "long non-coding RNA (CANN_LNC011248)". Lineage: Eukaryota; Viridiplantae; Streptophyta; Magnoliopsida; Solanales; Solanaceae. The record is from RNAcentral.